UUUAAAUCUGAGUGAGGAUAAAUUCUACUCACUUUUAAUCUUUCUUCUUUUUUUUAGCUGCCUAGGUACCCUGUAGAGUGUCUGUAGUUUACAAGACACAUAGAGAGCAAACUAAAAAAAAUUAACUCAUAACUAACGAUACUACAAUUCAGAUAUGCAGAAGAGUCACCACAUGCUGGUUGACAGAGAGAAAAUUUAACCAAAACUCUAGUCCUAUUUAAAGCCUAGGGUGACCUUACAAUGUAAGCAUCUUUUUGGGUAGUGUUCAUUCUAGGAUGAAAAUCUUUAGUUCUCAUAUAGCUUCUCUUUUGGAUGGUGUCCAGGUUUAAAAGAAGAAAAAGUGGAUUUUGUUUCCCUGUGGUGCUGAGGAGAAGAGACUCUGGCCUCCUGUUGUCCUCCUCUGAGGCCAAAAAGGAGCAGCCUCUUCUCCUUCUGGAGCUUCCCCAGUGAAAACUGCACGUCGGUGCAGUCAAGCCGGCCCUGGAUAUGUUCACGAGGAGGUCAAGGAAUUUAGUUGCUGCUCAUAGGACAGAGGCUGCGUACCUUCUCAGCAUCUUUGUAUUGUCCUCAGCUCAACAAUAUCCUUUUCAUUUGGAUUGUGGUGUGUGGAACUGAACUCAAUACUCCAGGCGAUUGGUUUAAAAAUGUGCAUCCUUGGUGCAAUGGAAUAUUGUGAAACUGCUGAAAAUGAGUCUCCUCACGAGUAAACAAAAUUGAUGAGACCGCGCUCGUGCACAGGCACACGGCGGGCGGCACAGCUCCCAGCGGUCACCGUUUACUGAACUGCCAGAAGUGGAGCGAUCACAAGCCGAGUCUGAUAGAGUCCCAUCUCAACCAGGCUCUCUGAGGCACCCAUGGUCGUUUGUAUCAAUGCCUGCCGGAGAUGCCACUGGCUUCAGCCUUUGCUCAAAAAGAGCAGCUCCACCUCUCAGCCGCUUGCCUGCCCGGGCUGCCCCCAGCAGCUGUUUCCCAGCCAGCCCCAGGCACGGCUCACUGCCAGGGAGCAGAAGAACAUGCCUGAGUGAAUCCUUCCAGUCCUCUUUGUCUCUACUGAGGAUUACUCCACUGCGUCCACAGCACAGCCACUGCUGGAGAGAGCGCUGCCGGGUCUGCUCACGUGGCAGGCUCGCUCGGAGCUGGGAAGCCAGUUGCUUCCUUGUGGACAAAGGCCUAACACUGUGACCUACGGAGUCCACAUUCCCCUGUUUGAAAGACAGAUAAUAACUUACUAAAAUAAAAUUUUGAUGCAUUUUUCAAUUUCUGACUUAUAACAUUCAAAUAACCCUAUUCUGAAGACAGUGUAAAAAUCACUAAAAUGAAUCUUCACGUUGCAUUUUUUUUCAGUUUGCUGGCUACUCAUUCCUAUGAAAUGUCUUUACAAGUUUAGCUUUAUAUGAUUGAGGUGAAACAGCACAAAACAUUCAAUUUCCUGUUAUAGUAGGUAUCUUGUUACUAACGGUGUCUUAGGACUCAAAUCAGAACAAAAAAAUAUCUUUACUAAUUUCCUUCCUUAACAACAUUCUGUGACUUGCUUCCUUUCAAAUCUCCUUUCGGAUGUAUAACUUUUCUAAUUUAGUGUGACUCUCCUUAUUUUCAAAAUAUACAUUCGAAUUUAUUUUCAAAUGUAUAUUUUACCUAAUUUACUGUUUCUCUUCCUAGUCUCGAAAUGUAUACACCUGAAUCACAUUUCAAAUGUAUGUUAUUGUCAUCAUCCAUUUGAAGUUUUGCUUCUUACUUGUCAAUUCAAGCACCCCCCUGCUAGCUGGAUCCCCAUACUGUUUCUGACAAUGUUGGGGGGUCUUGAAUUGUUCUCCAGUAUAAAAGGGAGCACAUAAAAGUGGUGGAUCAAGAACGGAUGUGUGUCCAGUUUAUGACUCAUCGCCAAUCUAGCUCAUUUCUUCCUACAUAGAGAUCUCACAUAACCAACGAAAGCUAUGUUUCAAAAUCAUCUGGGUCUGUGGUCUUAGUUCCACUUCCUCUAGUUAAGCCCUACUUACCUCUUACUCUUGGGUUAAGCAUCGCUUCCUCAGGGAAUCCUUCUCUGACCACAUCCUACCCCCACCACAAACUGAUCCAGACACUCCAGUUAUGUAAUCCAGCCUCUUAUGCUUUUCACCAUAGUGUUUAUUACAAUUUUUUAUUUAUGAUUCUCAGCACUUAUUUGAUUAAUGUCUAUCUCCCUUCACUAGACUCUUAAACUCAUUGAGGAGACUGAUAUUCUCUUACGCCCAUGUCCUGAGCCUAGAAUAAGGCUUGGCUCAUAGUAGAGGAUUCAUUAAAUAUUUAGUGAAUAAAUGAAUAAAUAAAUGAAUGAAUAAAGAGAUGAAAAAAUGAAAGAAUGACUACGGUUCUGGUCACUAGAACCAUGACCAGCACGUGGUGGCGCUCAAUAAAAUGAUAGCCGAUAUUAUCAUUGUGAGUCUCCACUCCAGAGCAAAUCAAUUUGCUGAGUGUUUCAGUUUGUUGAAAUUGAAUGGCUUCAAUUCGAUGAUUAUGGCUUCAGAAACUGAAAGUUAUGUGCUCCUUCAGGUAUGCAGUUUCCUGUAGUUGAACUGUUUUCUGUAGCUUUGCAAUAGACAGAUAUGUAGCUAGAAAUAGAAUGAUUUAUAUAUGUGUGUAUGAGUACAUGUAAAC
This 2634-nucleotide long non-coding RNA is filed under the name Equus asinus (donkey). RNAcentral describes it as "lncRNA (ENSEASG00005035700.1)". The record is from RNAcentral. Lineage: Eukaryota; Metazoa; Chordata; Mammalia; Perissodactyla; Equidae.